UUUCACAAGGAUUUGGAAGCAGGCUCUUCACUCUGCUGAUACUGUGACACUGCCACCUAGAGAGGACGCCGGUUUUGGCUGUGAUUUGAACAGAUCUGUUUUCCAUGGCUCUCUGAACUUCGAUUUUAAUAUGCAUCUCCCUCAACUGUUUUCUAUUCCACUUCUUUUAUCUUUCUGUUUCCUAGAUUUUAUUAUCUACUGACAUCUUCGGGCUACUCUGCAGUGUACAGUUGGUGCUCUGUGAACCUGCUUGCUAAGAAACAGAAGAGGAAAAGAAAGUGACUCAUGUGAAGGGGGCUACCACUGAAACUAAGAAGAAAGAAAAAGAAGCAAAAAAAGAGAAAGCUCAUGAGAAGACAGCUGUCCCUGAAAUUAAAAAAGCAGAUAAAAAAGAAGCUGCUGUGCCCAAAGAACUUAAAAAGCCAGCAAAAGCUCCUGCAGCCAAACCAACUGCCACAAACCCAGCAGCACCAGAUCUUGUUUCUUUUAGCUUAUUCAACUCGAGGAGAACUCAAACUUAAGGAUAGCUGCUCUAGAUCAUCCUACAUCAUAUCCUUUUUGUAGUCUAAAUUAGAUUAUC
This 580-nucleotide long non-coding RNA is filed under the name Dromaius novaehollandiae (emu). Its description in RNAcentral is "lncRNA (ENSDNVG00000000222.1)". Lineage: Eukaryota; Metazoa; Chordata; Aves; Casuariiformes; Dromaiidae. The record is from RNAcentral.